GAUGAACGCUGGCGGCGUGCCUAAUGCAUGCAAGUCGGACGCAUCGCCUUCGGGUGAUGAGUGGCGGACGGCUGAGGAACACGUGGGUAACCUGCCCUUCUGUGGGGGAUAACGGGCCGAAAGGUCCGCUAAUCCCGCAUACGCUCUCGUACGAGAGGAAAGUCGCAAGACGCGGAGGGAGGGGCCUGCGGCCCAUCAGGUAGUUGGCGGGGUAACGGCCCACCAAGCCAAUGACGGGUCCCUGGUCUGAGAGGACGACCAGGCAGACUGGGACUGAGACACGGCCCAGACUCCUACGGGAGGCAGCAGCAAGGAAUUUUCGGCAAUGGGCGAAAGCCUGACCGAGCAACGCCGCGUGGAGGAUGACGGCUUUCGGGUUGUAAACUCCUUUUGGGUGGGACGAUAAUGACGGUACCACUUGAAUAAGCCCCGGCUAACUCCGUGCCAGCAGCCGCCGUAAAAC
RNAcentral lists this ribosomal RNA (463 nucleotides) under uncultured bacterium. RNAcentral describes it as "bacterial SSU rRNA". It matches the Rfam family "Bacterial small subunit ribosomal RNA", at positions 28 to 526 of the family's 1533-position model. The record is from RNAcentral.